This 423-nucleotide ribosomal RNA is filed under the name uncultured Cytophagaceae bacterium. RNAcentral describes it as "bacterial SSU rRNA". It matches the Rfam family "Bacterial small subunit ribosomal RNA", at positions 355 to 774 of the family's 1533-position model. The record is from RNAcentral. Lineage: Bacteria; Pseudomonadati; Bacteroidota; Cytophagia; Cytophagales; Cytophagaceae.
UAGGGAAUAUUGGGCAAUGGAGGCAACUCUGACCCAGCCAUGCCGCGUGCAGGAAGACGGUCCUCUGGAUUGUAAACUGCUUUUGAAUGGGAAGAACCGCAGCCUUGCGAGGUUGUCUGACGGUACCAUUAGAAUAAGCCACGGCUAACUACGUGCCAGCAGCCGCGGUAAUACGUAGGUGGCGAGCGUUAUCCGGAUUUAUUGGGUUUAAAGGGUGCGUAGGCGGCGAUCUAAGUCGGUGGUGAAAGGUAGCAGCUUAACUGUUUUACAUGCUGCCGAUACUGGAUUGCUUGAGUUAUCGAGAGGCAAGUAGAAUUUCCGGUGUAGCGGUGAAAUGCAUAGAUACCGGAAGGAAUACCGAUUGCGAAGGCCACUUGCUAUAGAUAAACUGACGCUGAGGCACGAAAGCGUGGGGAGCGAACA